Oncorhynchus nerka (sockeye salmon) is the source of this 2352-nucleotide long non-coding RNA. RefSeq lists it as uncharacterized. NCBI's taxonomy places the organism in Eukaryota, Metazoa, Chordata, Actinopteri, Salmoniformes, Salmonidae. The transcript has 4 exons. The record is from RefSeq and is a predicted model, not a curated record.
UAAAUAGCCACCACUAGGCAGCUUCUACCAAGUUAUGUAGCCCUGCACCUUAGAUGCUGCUGCACUAUAUACAUAGACUUGAAAUCACUGGCCACUUAAUAAUGGAACAUGUGCAUGUGACAAAUAAAAUUGGAUUUGGAUUUUUAUUCAUGUGGUCCUUCUAUGUCAUGGAAAGAGCAGGUGUUCUUAAUGUUUUGAAUACUCAGUGACUAUGUCUAUGCUGUGAAGUGCAUCAAGAAGGUGUCAGUGAAACACUAACAGACCUAACUCUUAUUUCCUCUUAUGGAUCUACAAAAUUAACCUCAAGCACGCAAACACAUAGACUCACUUCUGCAAUCAAUUUAUGUUCUGUGGUAUUAUCUGUAAUAAGAGCAAGAGUGACAUUAUCCUCAAAUCUGUAGUUCUGAGUAUCUAGUUCUCUAUGAUUCAUGUAAACACUCACAGUGCGUGUUUUUAGAAUCAGCUCAGUUCCAUAUCUGUACACACUGAACUCCAGUUUACACCACUAAACACACUAUGCUUGAUUUACAUUUGGUUGAGUUGUCAACUGAUGUGAAUUCAUCAUGAAAUCAACAACCAAAUAUCACCAUGUCAUUGGAUUUGGUUAAACAUUGGGAGAAAAGACAACAAAUGGCCGUAUGUUGCUGACUUUUUACAAAUCCAAUCAGUUUUCCACGUUGAUUCAACGUCAUCACAUAGAUUUCUGGGGUUGAAAUGACGUGGAAACAACAUUAAUUCAAUCAGUGGGAUAACACUGCAUUAGAACCUUAAGUCAACUAUCACUCUAUAUUGACUACUAGCACUACCAAAACACACUAAUCACAGCUCGCUCACUCACUCACUCACUCACUCACUCACUCACUCACUCACUCACUCACUCACUCACUCACUCACUCACUCACUCACUCACUCACUGACUGACUGACUGACUGACUGACUGACUGACUGACUGACUGACUGACUGACUGACUGACUGACUGACUGACUGACUGACUGACUGACUGACUGACUGACUGACUGACUGACUGACUGACUGACUGACUGGUGUGUCCAGCAGUGAAAGCAGCACCAGCUCAGGGUUCAAGGAGCAGAGAGAGACGAGCCAAAAAGUUUAUCUACACAUCAUUUGCUCUCUUUCUUUCUCUCUUUCUCUCUCCAGGUGUCUCCAAGUGUCCUCUUCUCCUGGAGAAUCUCAUGUCCUACAGUUUCCAGGUGGCUCGAGGCAGAGUUCCUCACCUCAUAGAGAGACUUGGCUUGAGUAUAACUGGUGUGUGUUUGUCUGUAGUUACAGCACCAUGCUGGGAGGCUAACCCCUCAGCCCAUCCCACCUUCACUGGCUUACUGGAAUCACUGGGAGAUCUGCUGGAGGCACGGGCUCAACAGCUACAUGAACACCAGGAGCACAGCAACACUCAGGACCUUUGAGGAGCUGCCAUGAAAGAGCCUGCCUGGCCCUGACGACGAUGACAGAAAACACCCCUCCAGGCUGUGUAAGGGCUAUUUGACCAAGAAGGAGAGUGAUGAAGUGCUGCAUCAGAUGACCUGUCUGGGUUGGCGCCCCCCCCUUGGGUUGUGCCAUGGCGGAGAUCUUUGUGGGCUAUACUCAGCCUUGUCUCAGGAUGGACCUGAGCCCUAGGACCCUGCCCCAGGACUACCUGAAAUGAUGACUCCUUGCUGUCCCCAGUCCACCUGGCCGUGCUGCUGCUCCAGUUUCAACUGACCUGAGCCCUAGGACCAUGCCCCAGGACUACCUGACAUGAUGACUCCUUGCUGUCCCCAGUCCACCUGACCGUGCUGCUACUCCAGUUUCAACUGUUCUGCCUUAUUAUUAUACGACCAUGCUGGUCAUUUAUGAACAUUUGAACAUCUUGGCCAUGUUGUUAUAAUCUCCACCCGGCACAGCCAGAAGAGGACUGGCCACCCCACAUAGCCUGGUUCCUCUCUAGGUUUCUUCCUAGGUUUUGGCCUUUCUAGGGAGUUUUUCCUAGCCACCAUGCUUCUACACCUGCAUUGCUUGCUGUUUGGGGUUUUAGGCUGGGUUUCUGUACAGCACUUUGAGAUAUCAGCUGAUGUACGAAGGGCUAUAUAAAUACAUUUGAUUUGAUUUGACCUGUCCUCCACAAUCACACAAACUCAACCCCAUUGAGAUGGUUUGGGAUGAGUUAGACUGCAGAGUGAAGGAAAAACAGCCAACAAGUUCUCAGCAUAUGUGGGAACUCCUUCAACACUGUUGGAAAAGCAUUCCAGGUGAAGCUGGUCAAGAGAAUACCAAGUGUGCAAAGCUGUCAUAUCAAGGAAAAGGGUGGCUACUUUGAAUAAUCUAAAAUAUUUUGAUUUAACACUUUUUUGGGU